This is a long non-coding RNA of Scylla paramamosain (green mud crab), 2218 nucleotides long. RefSeq lists it as uncharacterized. The record is from RefSeq and is a predicted model, not a curated record. NCBI's taxonomy places the organism in Eukaryota, Metazoa, Arthropoda, Malacostraca, Decapoda, Portunidae. The transcript is spliced from 3 exons.
CUCUCUUCCCUCAGUCUUCAUUGGACAUUUGAAGGAGGAGGAACGGUCCCCUUCUUCCUCCUCCUCUUCCUCCUCUUCCUCCUCCUCCUCUUCCUCCUCAUCCUUUAAAAAGUGAGAGAAGGUUAAAACUACUACUACUACUACGACUACUACUACGACUACUACUACUACUACUACUACUACUACUACCACGACUACUACUACUACUACUACUACUACCUCGUUAGUCAUUUCAAGCAUAGAAUGGGCUUUUCAGAAAUGGAUGGGUUUUUCCUAUCAAUCUUCCUCGCUGUGUGCAUUGUGGUGGCAGUCCUCGUGCGGUGCCUGUGUUACCGCCUCUCCUGCGUCAGAGAACUCCUUUCCGGCGCCCCUGAGAGUCACCCAGGGGAGGAAAUUCUACCUCGAACUACCGCUACUGUCAUCACCCCAGCCAGGCAUUCCAGGGUCACGUCCACUGUGGGUGUAAACAUACCUGAUUCACCAAUGCCUCAACAUGGUGCUGUGUUUACAAUCUAUACGUUUCCAGAGCAGGACUCCCCCAGGCCGCCCCCACGCACCCCAGAGCCGCCCAAAUAUUGUUCCCUCCCUCAGGAUUUACCCCCGAAAUAUGAAGAUUUAUUCCCCCUUGCCGAUUUUGCGCUGGCGUGUAAAAAUAGCGGUGUCUCUGGUGUCAAAGUGGUGAAUAAUAAUUACACUAGUGAGAAUAAUAAUAGUAAUGGUGGUGGUGGUGGUGGUGGUGGUGGUAGUGGUGGUGAUAGUCAGGUUAACGCCAAUGCUUCUACCAGUAGUAUGCAUAAAGAUACUAUUCCUACUACUCCUCCUACUACUACCACUACAGAUAGUACUGCUACUACUACUACUACUACUACAGACAAUACCACCACCACUACUACCACUACUACUUCUACUACACUAUCACCACCAUCUACUUUAGACAUUCCCACUACUACUACUACUACUACUACUGCUGCUGCUACUACCCCCCAGCCCUCCCACCCCCUCCCCCUCGCCAAACAGAUCACCCAGACCAAAUAGAUUGAAUACUACUACUACUACUACUACUAAUUCUACUACUACUACUACUACUACGACACCUCCAGCCCUCCCUCCCCUCCCCCUCUCCCAAUAGAUCCCCAAUGACUAAUAGAAGAUGAAAAAGAGUAAAUUUGUAAUUAUUAUUAAGUCUUAAAGUUUACUUGAGAACCCCUCCAAAAAUCCCUCAUAGAAAACGGUUACUUGGAGAAAAUGGAGGAUUGAAGGGGAAAAAAGUGAUGGGUUGAUGGAAUGGUGAAUAAAUAUGAAGGUUGUGAAGGAAAGUGAUGGAAAUAGAAGGAAAUGAAGGAAGAAAACGGGGAAAUAGAGGGAAAUGAAGGAAGAAAACGGGAAUUAUCAGGAAGCACGAUAGAAAUGAAAGAAAAAAUAGAUAAAAAAAAACAAUGAAAGAGAAAAGAACUGGAAGGGAGAAGAAAACAGGAAAAAAUAAUAAUAAUAAAUAAUAAUAAACGAGGUGAAAGAAAUGAAAGAAAAUAAAAAAUAUUUGUGAUCUAAAAAAAAAUGAGUCCGUCCAUAAAAUUAUAAGGUUGUGACAGAAAACGGGGGACAAAGCGACCUUGAGCCAUUAAAGAAAACGCGUUGAGAGAGAGAGAGAGAGAGAAGCAUUCCAUAUAUUAAGAGAUGCAGUUUUAUUUUAUAUUUAAAGAGAGAGAGAAAGAGAGAGAGAGAGAGAGAGAGAGAGAGAGAGAGAGAUGGCUUUGCUCAAUUAGUGCCAAUGCUGUUAUUAUUAUUAUUAUUAUUAUUAUUAUUAUUAUUAUUAUUAUUAUUAUUAUGAGAGAGAGAGAGAUAGAUAGAUAUCCAAGUGCCUUAUGUUAAUUAAGACCAAUUACUUAAUUACAAAUAACUCAUAAAGGUGCAAAUUAUUAUUAUUAUUAUUAUUAUUAUUAUUAUUAUUAUUAUUAUUAUUAUUAUUUAUAUACAUACUAACAACACACACACACACACACACACACACACACACACACACACACACACACACACACACACACAUUUAUAUAGAGGCAUUAUGUAUUAUUCUAUAUACAGGAAAAAUUUGUGUAUGUCAGAGAGAGAGAGAGAGAGAGACAUUCCAAUUAUAAAUAUGCACUUUUUCAUUUGAUUUUCUUUUUAUUUAUAUUUGAGAGAGAGAGAGAGAGAGAGAGAGAGAGAGAGAGAGAGAGAGAGA